RNAcentral lists this ribosomal RNA (495 nucleotides) under uncultured bacterium. Its description in RNAcentral is "bacterial SSU rRNA". It matches the Rfam family "Bacterial small subunit ribosomal RNA", at positions 28 to 513 of the family's 1533-position model. The record is from RNAcentral.
GACGAACGCUGGCGGCGUGCUUAACACAUGCAAGUCGAACGAUGAAGCCUUUCGGGGUGGAUUAGUGGCGAACGGGUGCGUAACACGUGGGCAAUCUGCCGAGAAGUGGGGGAUAGCUCGCCGAAAGGCGAAUUAAUACCGCAUGUGAUCAUCCCGCGAUUGCGGGAGAAAUCAAAGGUGCCGCAAGGUACCGCUUUUUGAGGAGCCCGCGGCCUAUCAGCUUGUUGGUGAGGUAACGGCUCACCAAGGCUUUGACGGGUAGCUGGUCUGAGAGGACGACCAGUCACACUGGAACUGAGACACGGUCCAGACACCUACGGGUGGCAGCAGUCGAGAAUUUUUCUCAAUGGGGGCAACCCUGAAGGAGCGACGCCGCGUGGAGGAUGAAGGCUUUUCGGGUUGUAAACUCCUGUCAUUUGAGAACAAGGUGCACCCGUUUACUGCGUGUGCAUUGAUAGUAUCAGAAGAGGAAGAGACGCUAACUCUGUGCCAGCA